CCUACGGGAGGCAGCAGUGGGGAAUCUUGCGCAAUGGGCGAAAGCCUGACGCAGCAACGCCGCGUGCGGGAAGAAGGCCUUCGGGUUGUAAACCGCUUUCAGCAGGAACGAAAAUGACGGUACCUGCAGAAGAAGGAGCGGCCAACCACGUGCCAGCAGCCGCGGUGACACGUAGGCUCCAAGCGUUGUCCGGAUUUAUUGGGCGUAAAGGGCUCGUAGGCGGUUCAGUAAGUCGGGUGUGAAAACUCUGGGCUCAACCCAGAGCCUGCAUUCGAAACUGCUGUGACUAGAGUUUGGUAGGGGAGCGGGGAAUUCCUAGUGUAGCGGUGAAAUGCGCAGAUAUUAGGAGGAACACCGGUGGCGAAAGCGCCGCUCUGGGCCAAUACUGACGCUGAGGAGCGAAAGCGUGGGUAGCAAACAGGAUUAGAUACCCUGGUAGUCCACGCCGUAAACGAUGGGCACUAGGUGUGGGUUUCAACUAACGAAAUCCGUGCCGUCGCUAACGCAUUAAGUGCCCCGCCUGGGGAGUACGGUCGCAAGACUAAAACUUAAGGAAUUGACGGCUGAGACGNGCGAGACGACGACGAGGAGAG
Molecule: ribosomal RNA, 593 nt
Filed under: uncultured bacterium
Lineage: Bacteria
Description: bacterial SSU rRNA
Rfam family: Bacterial small subunit ribosomal RNA
Source: RNAcentral